GACGAACGCUGGCGGCGUGCUUAACACAUGCAAGUCGAACGGUGAAGCGCCUUCCUUUUUGGUGGGUGUGGAUGAGUGGCGAACGGGUGAGUAACACGUGAGUAACCUGCCCCCUUCUUCUGGAUAACCGCAUGAAAGUGUGGCUAAUACGGGAUAUUCUGGGUCUGUCGCAUGAUGGGUCUGGGAAAGAUAUUGUUUCGGUGGGGGAUGGGCUCGCGGCCUAUCAGCUUGUUGGUGGGGUGAUGGCCUACCAAGGCGGUGACGGGUAGCCGGCCUGGGAGGGUGGACGGUCACACUGGGACUGAGACACGGCCCAGACUCGUACGGGAGGCAGCAGUGGGGAAUAUUGCACAAUGGGCGCAAGCCUGAUGCAGCGACGCCGCGUGAGGGAUGGAGGCCUUCGGGUUGUGAACCUCUUUCGCCAGUGAAGCAGGCCUGCCUCGUUUGUGGGUGGGUUGACGGUAGCUGGAUAAGAAGCGCCGGCUAACUACGU
This 493-nucleotide ribosomal RNA is filed under the name uncultured bacterium. Its description in RNAcentral is "partial 16S ribosomal RNA". It matches the Rfam family "Bacterial small subunit ribosomal RNA", at positions 28 to 506 of the family's 1533-position model. The record is from RNAcentral.